This 253-nucleotide ribosomal RNA is filed under the name uncultured bacterium. RNAcentral's name for it is "partial 16S ribosomal RNA". It matches the Rfam family "Bacterial small subunit ribosomal RNA", at positions 524 to 776 of the family's 1533-position model. The record is from RNAcentral.
UACGGGGGGUGCAAGCGUUAAUCGGAAUUACUGGGCGUAAAGAGCACGUAGGCGGUUAUGUAAGUCGGAUGUGAAAGCCCAGGGCUUAACCUUGGAAUUGCAUUCGAAACUGCAUGGCUUGAGUUUGGUAGAGGCUAGCGGAAUUCCAGGUGUAGCGGUGAAAUGCGUAGAUAUCUGGAGGAACAUCAGUGGCGAAGGCGGCUGGCUGGACCAAAACUGACGCUGAGGUGCGAAAGCGAGGGUAGCAAACAGG